CCCUGGUAGUCCACGCCCUCAAACGAUGCGAACUGGAUGUUGGUCUCAACUCGGAGAUCAGUGUCGAAGCUAACGCGUUAAGUUCGCCGCCUGGGGAGUACGGUCGCAAGACUGAAACUCAAAGGAAUUGACGGGGGCCCGCACAAGCGGUGGAGUAUGUGGUUUAAUUCGAUGCAACGCGAAGAACCUUACCUGGCCUUGACAUGUCCGGAAUCCUGCAGAGAUGCGGGAGUGCCUUCGGGAAUCGGAACACAGGUGCUGCAUGGCUGUCGUCAGCUCGUGUCGUGAGAUGUUGGGUUAAGUCCCGCAACGAGCGCAACCCUUGUCCUUAGUUGCCAGCACGUAAUGGUGGGAACUCUAAGGAGACUGCCGGUGACAAACCGGAGGAAGGUGGGGAUGACGUCAAGUCAUCAUGGCCCUUACGGCCAGGGCUACACACGUACUACAAUGGUCGGUACAGAGGGUUGCAAUACCGCGAGGUGGAGCCAAUCCCAGAAAGCCGAUCCCAGUCCGGAUCGAAGUCUGCAACUCGACUUCGUGAAGUCGGAAUCGCUAGUAAUCGCAGAUCAGCUAUGCUGCGGUGAAUACGUUCCCGGGCCUUGUACACACCGCCCGUCACACCAUGGGAGUGAGUUGCUCCAGAAGCCGUUAGUCUAACCGCAAGGGGGACGACGACCACGGAGUGGUUCAUGACUGGGGUGAAGUCGUAACAAGGUAGCCGU
This 722-nucleotide ribosomal RNA is filed under the name uncultured Dyella sp. RNAcentral describes it as "bacterial SSU rRNA". It matches the Rfam family "Bacterial small subunit ribosomal RNA", at positions 785 to 1503 of the family's 1533-position model. Lineage: Bacteria; Pseudomonadati; Pseudomonadota; Gammaproteobacteria; Lysobacterales; Rhodanobacteraceae. The record is from RNAcentral.